RNAcentral lists this long non-coding RNA (1074 nucleotides) under Cervus hanglu yarkandensis (Yarkand deer). RNAcentral describes it as "lncRNA (ENSCHYG00000021926.1)". The record is from RNAcentral. Lineage: Eukaryota; Metazoa; Chordata; Mammalia; Artiodactyla; Cervidae.
AUGCCGGAAGCAAAAACCAAAACUUUUCGUUGGCUUUUUCCUUUGUCGCCUCCCACAUCCCCUGCUCCUCUUGCCCACCCCAGCCCCAGGCUGGAGGCCCUCCCCGACUUAAGUUAUUGUUUUAAACCAAAGUUUACAGUGUCUGUUGGUGGCCAAGACCCCCUCUCUCCACCCCCACCCCGAGGACCCUGGGACUCAGUAGAAGCUGGGGGCCCUGCGCACCUCCCCUCUGCUCCGGCCUGGCCUGGGGGAAGGAGCACGGGCAGAGGGGAGGAGACUGCCGCCCUCAACUCCCCCCACCCCCCGGGUUCUCGUCCCCUUGGGCCGGGGGCAUGGGGAGCCCUCCUCCCAACCAUGGGCUGCUUCCUGGGGGCUCUCCAGACCCCCUUCUCCAGGACCAAGUUCCCCAUCACACUGGGAGUGUGGAUUCCAGCGAAGGAGCUGGAAAAAAAAGUGAGACUCUCUCCACAGACCCCCUAUGGGGGACCCCAACUUAAGGCCAAGGACUGGGUGUGUUUGAUACUUAACACCCCAGGCCAGGCCCCUUUGCUGAGAAGACUCCUUGGACUAUUUCCCAAGAAACCCCCACAUACACCCCUUCACAAGCCACCCCUCCCAAGAGGCAGGGGGCCCUCCGCCCCCUCCCCUAUGUACUCCCCACCUGUGUUCUGUUUGACCAGCACAGAAAUAUUAAACGUCCUCUCUUCACCGGGCCCUGCGUGUGUCAGCAAGGGAGGGGAGGAUGCUCUGGGCAGCAGGGGUCCUGUAGGGGCUCUUGCUGCAAGUGCGGAAGUGGACCGAGCCCCAGCGCCAGCGCCUGCACCUCCACAUUCGUUCACAGCUUUGUUCCGGCUCCUCUCCGCCCCACCUGGCUUCCUUUUCCACUCGUCAUCCGGGGAAUUUUCUCUCAAACCAGGUCUCCGUCGUCCUCCUAUUUUCUCCCAAAGUCACAACUCCUGGGCCCAGUUCCUUCCUGGGUUUGCAAUCCAAGUUUUCCUGCCUGGACGUUUUCAUUGGGGAGUAGAUUUCCUCUUGGGAUCCAGAGGGUUCUUGCUGCAGAAGCGCAUGCCCGGG